GACGAACGCUGGCGGCGUGCUUAACACAUGCAAGUCGAACGGAAAGGCCCUGCUUUUGUGGGGUGCUCGAGUGGCGAACGGGUGAGUAACACGUGAGUAACCUGCCCUUGACUUUGGGAUAACUUCAGGAAACUGGGGCUAAUACCGGAUAGGAGCUCCUGCUGCAUGGUGGGGGUUGGAAAGUUUCGGCGGUUGGGGAUGGACUCGCGGCUUAUCAGCUUGUUGGUGGGGUAGUGGCUUACCAAGGCUUUGACGGGUAGCCGGCCUGAGAGGGUGACCGGCCACAAUGGGACUAAGAUACGGCCCAGACUCCUACGGGAGGCAGCAGGGGGGAAUAUUGUACAAUGGGCGGAAGCCUGAUGCAGCAACGCCGCGUGCGGGAUGACGGCCUUCGGGUUGUAAACCGCUUUCGCCUGUGACGAAGCGGGAGUGACGGUAAUGGGUAAAGAAGCACCGGCUAACUACGUG
Molecule: ribosomal RNA, 468 nt
Filed under: uncultured bacterium
Lineage: Bacteria
Description: partial 16S ribosomal RNA
Rfam family: Bacterial small subunit ribosomal RNA
Source: RNAcentral